Molecule: ribosomal RNA, 252 nt
Filed under: uncultured microorganism
Description: partial 16S ribosomal RNA
Rfam family: Bacterial small subunit ribosomal RNA
Source: RNAcentral
UACGUAGGUCCCGAGCGUUGUCGGGAUUUAUUGGGCGUAAAGCGAGCGCAGGUGGUUUAAUAAGUCUGAUGUAAAAGGCAGUGGCUCAACCAUUGUGUGCAUUGGAAACUGUUAGACUUGAGUGCAGUAGAGGAGAGUGGAAUUCCAUGUGUAGCGGUGAAAUGCGUAGAUAUAUGGAGGAACACCGGUGGCGAAAGCGGCUCUCUGGACUGUAACUGACACUGAGGCUCGAAAGCGUGGGUAGCAAACAGG